GACGAACGCUGGCGGCGUGCUUAACACAUGCAAGUCGAACGGAAAGGCCCUGCUUUUGUGGGGUGCUCGAGUGGCGAACGGGUGAGUAACACGUGAGUAACCUGCCCUUGACUUUGGGAUAACUUCAGGAAACUGGGGCUAAUACCGGAUAGGAGCUCCUGCUGCAUGGUGGGGGUUGGAAAGUUUCGGCGGUUGGGGAUGGACUCGCGGCUUAUCAGCUUGUUGGUGGGGUAGUGGCUUACCAAGGCUUUGACGGGUAGCCGGCCUGAGAGGGUGACCGGCCACAUUGGGACUGAGAUACGGCCCAGACGCCUACGGGAGGCAGCAGUGGGGAAUAGUGCACAAUGGGCGGAAGCAUGAUGCAGCAACGCCGCGUGCGGGAUGACGGCCUUCGGGUUGUAAACCGCUUUCGCCUGUGACGAAGCGUGAGUGACGGUAAUGGGUAAAGAAGCACCGGCUAACUACGUG
Molecule: ribosomal RNA, 468 nt
Filed under: uncultured bacterium
Lineage: Bacteria
Description: partial 16S ribosomal RNA
Rfam family: Bacterial small subunit ribosomal RNA
Source: RNAcentral